AACGCGAAGAACCUUACCUACCCUUGACAUCCACGGAAUUCUGCAGAGAUGCGGAGGUGCCGAAAGGAACCGUGAGACAGGUGCUGCAUGGCUGUCGUCAGCUCGUGUUGUGAGAUGUUGGGUUAAGUCCCGUAACGAGCGCAACCCUUGUUUUCAGUUGCCAGCGCGUAAAGGCGGGGACUCUGAAGAGACUGCCGGUGAUGAACCGGAGGAAGGCGGGGACGACGUCAAGUCAUCAUGGCCUUUAUGGGUAGGGCUACACACGUGCUACAAUGGGGCGUACAGAGGGCAGCCAACCCGCGAGGGGGAGCUAAUCCCAGAAAGCGUCUCUUAGUCCGGACUGGAGUCUGCAACUCGACUCCACGAAGUCGGAAUCGCUAGUAAUCGCGAAUCAGAAUGUCGCGGUGAAUACGUUCCCGGGCCUUGUACACACCGCUCGUC
Molecule: ribosomal RNA, 441 nt
Filed under: uncultured bacterium
Lineage: Bacteria
Description: bacterial SSU rRNA
Rfam family: Bacterial small subunit ribosomal RNA
Source: RNAcentral